UCCAGACUCCUACGGGAGGCAGCAGUGAGGAAUAUUGGUCAAUGGGCGAGAGCCUGAACCAGCCAAGUCGCGUGAGGGAAGACGGUCCUAUGGAUUGUAAACCUCUUUUGUCGGGGAGCAAAAAGGCCUCGUGAGGCCACAAGUGAGAGUACCCGAAGAAAAAGCAUCGGCUAACUCUGUGCCAGCAGCCGCGGUAAUACGGAGGAUGCGAGCGUUAUUCGGAUUUAUUGGGUUUAAAGGGUGCGUAGGCGGACUGGAAAGUCAGCGGUAAAAUCGAGAGGCUCAACCUCGUUCCGCCGUUGAAACUGUCAGUCUUGAGUGGGCGAGAAGUAUGCGGAAUGCGUGGUGUAGCGGUGAAAUGCAUAGAUAUCACGCAGAACUCCGAUUGCGAAGGCAGCAUACCGGCGCCCGACUGACGCUGAGGCACGAAAGCGUGGGUAUCGAACAGGAUUAGAUACCCCCGUA
This 465-nucleotide ribosomal RNA is filed under the name uncultured bacterium. RNAcentral describes it as "bacterial SSU rRNA". It matches the Rfam family "Bacterial small subunit ribosomal RNA", at positions 330 to 792 of the family's 1533-position model. The record is from RNAcentral.